UAACAAUGAUCUUAACGGUUCUUCAAAUUUCAGGGUCCUCUCUUUCAGCAGCGCCCAUACCCAUCUCCUGGAGCAGUCUUGCGUAGAAAUGCUGAAGUUGCUUCUCAAAAGAAAAAUCCUAAAUCGCAUCUUACCCCUAUAUCUAAGAGAGGUGAUGGUAAGGAUGGACUGGGUGACGCUGAUUGAAGAUUUUAAGCCUUUGUGUCAUAUUAUUUGCUGGAAGAUUCUCAGAGAGGGAGUUUUUCCAAUUGAAGUUGCUAGACAAGAAAGUCCUAAACAUUAUUACAUACAUUCUAUCGUAGAGACAGGCGUGGAUGAAUUUUCUUCUUGAGAUCUCUGACAUAUGGAUUUAGUAGGUUUUUUAACUGCCGAGAGAGUCAUAAAAAGUGCCAAUAGGCGUGUAGAACAAAAGAAAUUGCAGCUGAAACGCUAGUGUGUAUUCUUUUUAUUUUUUAUUUUUUAUAAGAGACUUCCAAAACUUUAGAAACAGGGAUUAUCUUAGGAGCAUAGACCAGCCAAUGUGUAGAAGCUGUUAGUUGUAACCCUAUAUGUGUUUGGAAUGCGGUUUUUGUUACGAGAGAAUGAGUAGUAGAGAAAGACAUGUCAUGAAAAGGAGCCAACUUGAAGUCUCUACUAAAGUCUGCACACUGCUGCAAUCAGGAAGUUAAACACUUUGAUCCUACCGAAUUUUUUCUUCUUAUCUUAUUCGUGUCACUACAUUCUUCUAAAAAGUGCAGCUUUCAUUUAACAUUUGAUUUAUA
Long non-coding RNA from Nicotiana attenuata, 761 nucleotides. RefSeq lists it as uncharacterized. NCBI's taxonomy places the organism in Eukaryota, Viridiplantae, Streptophyta, Magnoliopsida, Solanales, Solanaceae. The transcript is spliced from 2 exons. The record is from RefSeq and is a predicted model, not a curated record.